Molecule: ribosomal RNA, 253 nt
Filed under: uncultured prokaryote
Description: partial 16S ribosomal RNA
Rfam family: Bacterial small subunit ribosomal RNA
Source: RNAcentral
ACGAACCGUGCGAACGUUGUUCGGAAUCACUGGGCUUAAAGGGCGCGUAGGCGGCUUGCCAAGUCAGGGGUGAAAUCCUGCAGCUCAACUGUAGAAGUGCCUUUGGUACUGGCGAGCUCGAGGGAGGUAGGGGUGCGCGGAACUUCUGGUGGAGCGGUGAAAUGCGUUGAUAUCAGAAGGAACGCCGGUGGCGAAAGCGGCGCACUGGAUCUCUACUGACGCUGAGGCGCGAAAGCCAGGGGAGCAAACGGGA